GACGAACGCUGGCGGCGUGCUUAACACAUGCAAGUCGAACGGAAAGGCCCUGCUUUUGUGGGGUGCUCGAGUGGCGAACGGGUGAGUAACACGUGAGUAACCUGCCCUUGACUUUGGGAUAACUUCAGGAAACUGGGGCUAAUACCGGAUAGGAGCUCCUGCUGCAUGGUGGGGGUUGGAAAGUUUCGGCGGUUGGGGAUGGACUCGCGUCUUAUCAGCUUGUUGGUGGGGUAGUGGCUUACCAAGGCUUUGACGGGUAGCCGGCCUGAGAGGGUGACCGGCCACAUUGGGACGGAGAUACGGCCCAGACUCCUACGGGAGGCAGCAGUGGGGAAUAUUGCACAAUGGGCGGAAGCCUGAUGCAGCAACGCCGCGUGCGGGAUGACGGCCUUCGGGUUGUAAACCGCUUUCGCCUGUGACGAAGCGUGAGUGACGGGAAUGGGUAAAGAAGCACCGGCUAACUACGU
RNAcentral lists this ribosomal RNA (467 nucleotides) under uncultured bacterium. RNAcentral's name for it is "partial 16S ribosomal RNA". It matches the Rfam family "Bacterial small subunit ribosomal RNA", at positions 28 to 506 of the family's 1533-position model. The record is from RNAcentral.